CUCGUAGGUUGCUGAGUAAGUCGGGUGUUAAAUCCCCAGGCUCAACCUGGGACACCACUCGAUACUGCUCUGGCUAGAGUCCGGUAGGGGAGCGUGGAAUUCCUGGUGUAGCGGUGAAAUGCGCAGAUAUCAGGAGGAACACCAGCGGCGAAGGCGGCGCUCUGGGCCGGUACUGACACUGAGGAGCGAAAGCGUGGGUAGCAAACA
Molecule: ribosomal RNA, 207 nt
Filed under: uncultured bacterium
Lineage: Bacteria
Description: partial 16S ribosomal RNA
Rfam family: Bacterial small subunit ribosomal RNA
Source: RNAcentral